UACGUAGGGGUCUAGCGUUGUCCGGAAUUAUUGGGCGUAAAGAGCUCGUAGGCGGUUCGGCAAGUCGGAUGUGAAAUCUCCACGCUUAACGUGGAGGGGCCAUUCGAAACUGCCGUGACUCGAGUCCGGUAGGGGAGUUCGGAAUUCCCGGUGUAGCGGUGAAAUGCGCAGAUAUCGGGAAGAACACCCGUGGCGAAGGCGGUUCUCUGGGACGGUACUGACGCUGAGACGCGAAAGCGUGGGGAGCGAACAGG
Molecule: ribosomal RNA, 254 nt
Filed under: uncultured bacterium
Lineage: Bacteria
Description: partial 16S ribosomal RNA
Rfam family: Bacterial small subunit ribosomal RNA
Source: RNAcentral